This 434-nucleotide ribosomal RNA is filed under the name uncultured bacterium. RNAcentral's name for it is "bacterial SSU rRNA". It matches the Rfam family "Bacterial small subunit ribosomal RNA", at positions 335 to 758 of the family's 1533-position model. The record is from RNAcentral.
ACUCCUACGGGAGGCAGCAGUAGGGAAUUUUUCGCAAUGGGCGCAAGCCUGACGAAGCAAUGCCGCGUGAGGGAUGAAGGUUUUCGGAUUGUAAACCUCUGUUAUAAGGGAAGAAAACCUAGUAUAGGAAAUGAUACUAAGCUUGACGGUACCUUAUCAGAAAGGGACGGCUAACUACGUGCCAGCAGCCGCGGUAAUACGUAGGUCCCGAGCGUUAUCCGGAAAUUAUUGGGCGUAAAGAGCAUGUAGGCGGUCUGUUAAGUCAGAUGUGAAAGCCCGGGGCUUAACCUCGGGAAUUGCAUUUGAAACUGGCAGGCUAGAGUCUUGUAGAGGGGGGUAGAAUUUCAGGUGUAGCGGUGAAAUGCGUAGAGAUCUGAAGGAAUACCAGUGGCGAAGGCGGCCCCCUGGACAAAGACUGACGCUCAGAUGCGAAA